Molecule: long non-coding RNA, 600 nt
Filed under: Bos taurus (domestic cattle)
Lineage: Eukaryota; Metazoa; Chordata; Mammalia; Artiodactyla; Bovidae
Description: long non-coding RNA NONBTAT023615
Source: RNAcentral
GUCACACCUGAUCUGGGUGAGGUUUCUUUUUCUCUGCUCCUGGCCAGGCUGCCAUGCCCUACAUCAUUAACCCUAAACUCUGGGGAACUGAUCCCCUGACAGCCUCUUUGAUAUUAGAUUAGAUCCCUUCCAGGCUGCAUUUAAUUGACUGAGUUCCUAGGGGGAAUAGCUGGUGCCUGCUCCCUCUUUCUGUUUUAGUUGGCCACUCUUCUUUAGUAGCUGGCUUGCAAAUUCACUGUGCCUUCGCGAAGAAGGAAAUGUUACAGAUGAAACAAAUGCCUCCGAUUCCGAAUUCUCCUUUUUUCCCUCUCCCUUCUAAUAGCAUGUCUACGGUUAGACCUGUCAACGAGCUCCUUUGUUCUUUUUGAAUCCUCUUCCUCCAAGUAAUAAGAAAAUGGCCUCUUUCCUCUUCUGUCCUCACCGUACCUUAUCUGUUUUUCUGAAAAUGAAAGACUAGAAGACUGGUAAUUAAAAUACCAGCCCUUUUUUGUUGACUUGAAUGUCUUUACUUCUGUUUUUAAACCUUAUAAAAAUCUUUGACUUUUCUUAAAUGACUCUUGCAUUGUAAACACUUUUCCCCCUGAUCUUUCAUUUUCUUGC